ACAUAUAAAAUAAUCAUAAAAAAUUUGCUCUUGGCAACAGGAGAAUAUUUGAUACAACAGCCUUUAUGUUCAGAGCAUCCGUUAAUGAUACUCAUUUGCAUCAACACUCUGAUAGCGUUACCGAAUUAUUUUUCCUCAAUUACUUUGAUUUGCUAACUUUCUAAUAUAUAUAUGAUUUUUUAUCAUUAUUCCAUACUUUAAAUGGCAUCCCUGCCACAUAUUAGUAAAUUACUUCAAUUAUGUCGUCUGCAAGAACUAUAACAUUUCAUUCAUGUGUUCUUCCCAGGCGAGCGCUGCUAAUGCACAAUGAUUACGAAUGUUGUUUGAAAUAAACUCAUUCCCAGAGCAAAAUUUACAUGCCUUAGUAACGUGGGAAGGCAGCUAUUUCACGCCUUGAUGAUUGCCCACCAAACAAAAACACCAAGUAGAUGAAUGCAAGUUGACAAAAUAAAUGUAAGGCAAACAGACCUGAUCCCAUACUACCUCAUAUUUCUUUUCGUUUAUCAUGUUUUAAACUUACUGUUAUAGCAACUAGCUACAAUAAAAUAAUACACUCCAUUAAAUAUAUUAGUAAUGGUAAUGCAUGCUUAGUGCCAAGAAUUAGAAAUGAUUUACCAAAGUGUAACUUACUCACACGUUAUUUGGUCUUUCACUGGGCUUUGCUCUUUAAACUUCCUUGGUAGUAAACAUGAGGCCAUGCUCUCUAACCAGCCCUGAGGCUGGAUGUGCAGAUCCGUUUUAUGUACAGGUCUUGGGAGAAGAUUUUUAUUUUUAAAAUACAGUCCUCACACCCUGUACAGUUGUAGAUACCGCCACCCAUAGGAUGGGUUUAGAUUCCUGUGCAUUUAGAAGAGGGAGUAUGGUCUUAGCAGGAGACUAGAACUCCUCGUUCUGCCACUGAAUCUUCGGCUACCAUUUGACAAUGCAUUUCCAACCCCACGUCCACCUCCUCCCAUUGUGCGGCUCUGUCCAGCAGGGAGAAAAUAUAACCUUGCAAUUGGUUCUCAAGCAACACAAGAAAUGUUCAAGUAGAGUACCUAGGCUCCUCACUGGCCCUGCACUAGGGAGGGAGCAUGUGCUGUGCUCUUACAAGGAGAGUGUCAUCUGCCUGACCAAUGAAUGAUGUGGGUGUAAGUUAACCCUUCGCUUGAUGUCUUUGCUUGCAUGAGUCAGACCCACAAAAUCUCACAAGAUUGACCUAAAAUAAGGUGAUUUAAAUAUAUAUAUAUUUAAAAACACACUUUUGGUUUGUCUUCUGGUUUGUGGACUCCACGUGAUGGUCCCCAAUGUGUAUCAAUUUUCAACCCAUAAUGAUCAAUCUUAAACGUAUGCAGAAUGCGCAUGCACAAAAAAU
RNAcentral lists this long non-coding RNA (1354 nucleotides) under Chrysemys picta bellii (western painted turtle). RNAcentral describes it as "lncRNA (ENSCPBG00000009464.1)". Lineage: Eukaryota; Metazoa; Chordata; Testudines; Emydidae. The record is from RNAcentral.